UGAGGAUCUGAGGGCCCAUGCCAAACAUUUCAGCCUCCUGAGGGGGAAGAGGCAUUGUUGUGUCCUCUUCAUGACGGGGGAAGAGGCGUUGUCGUGCCCUCUUCAUGACUGGGGAAGAGGCGUUGUCGUGCCCUCUUCAUGACUGGGGAAGAGGCGUUGUCGUGCCCUCUUCAUGACGGGGGAAGAGGCGUUGUCGUGUCCUCUUCAUGACGGGGGAAGAGGCGUUGUUGUGCCCUCUUCAUGACGGUUGGUGUGUGUGGACCACGAUCCUUAGUGAUGUGGACACAGAGGAACUUGCAGCUCUCGAC
Oncorhynchus tshawytscha (Chinook salmon) is the source of this 308-nucleotide long non-coding RNA. NCBI's taxonomy places the organism in Eukaryota, Metazoa, Chordata, Actinopteri, Salmoniformes, Salmonidae. The record is from Ensembl.